RNAcentral lists this ribosomal RNA (301 nucleotides) under uncultured bacterium. RNAcentral's name for it is "partial 16S ribosomal RNA". It matches the Rfam family "Bacterial small subunit ribosomal RNA", at positions 509 to 807 of the family's 1533-position model. The record is from RNAcentral.
CAGUAGCCGCGGUAAUACGUAGGGUGCGAGCGUUAAUCGGAAUUACUGGGCGUAAAGCGUGCGCAGGCGGUUGUGUAAGACAGGUGUGAAAUCCCCGGGCUUAACCUGGGAACUGCGCUUGUGACUGCACAGCUAGAGUAUGGCAGAGGGGGGUGGAAUUCCACGUGUAGCAGUGAAACGCGUAGAGAUGUGGAGGAACACCGAUGGCGAAGGCAGCCCCCUGGGCCAAUACUGACGCUCAUGCACGAAAGCGUGGGGAGCAAACAGGAUUAGAUACCCCUGUAGUCCCUGUCUCUUAUAC